GGGCCCGGCCGUGACUGGCGAAGGUGGGACCGACCACCGGGGAGCGGCUGAAGUCCCCCUGCAGCGCACCGCCCGCCUGGGUGCCUGGG
Molecule: non-coding RNA, 89 nt
Filed under: Cellulomonas sp.
Lineage: Bacteria; Bacillati; Actinomycetota; Actinomycetes; Micrococcales; Cellulomonadaceae
Description: ZTP sequence
Rfam family: ZMP/ZTP riboswitch aptamer (pfl RNA motif)
About the family: Previously known as pfl RNA. ZMP is also known as AICAR.
Source: RNAcentral